RNAcentral lists this transfer RNA (65 nucleotides) under bovine gut metagenome. It matches the Rfam family "tRNA", at positions 7 to 64 of the family's 71-position model. Rfam says of the family: Transfer RNA (tRNA) molecules are approximately 80 nucleotides in length. Their secondary structure includes four short double-helical elements and three loops (D, anti-codon, and T loops). Further hydrogen bonds mediate the characteristic L-shaped molecular structure. tRNAs have two regions of fundamental functional importance: the anti-codon, which is responsible for specific mRNA codon recognition, and the 3' end, to which the tRNAs corresponding amino acid is attached (by aminoacyl-tRNA synthetases). tRNAs cope with the degeneracy of the genetic code in two manners: having more than one tRNA (with a specific anti-codon) for a particular amino acid; and 'wobble' base-pairing, i.e. permitting non-standard base-pairing at the 3rd anti-codon position. The record is from RNAcentral.
CUUGUAGUCCAAUGGUUAAGAUACGAGCUUCCCAAGCUUGAGAUGCGGGUUCGAUUCCCGUCUGG